This 73-nucleotide transfer RNA is filed under the name Camelus bactrianus (Bactrian camel). It matches the Rfam family "tRNA". Rfam says of the family: Transfer RNA (tRNA) molecules are approximately 80 nucleotides in length. Their secondary structure includes four short double-helical elements and three loops (D, anti-codon, and T loops). Further hydrogen bonds mediate the characteristic L-shaped molecular structure. tRNAs have two regions of fundamental functional importance: the anti-codon, which is responsible for specific mRNA codon recognition, and the 3' end, to which the tRNAs corresponding amino acid is attached (by aminoacyl-tRNA synthetases). tRNAs cope with the degeneracy of the genetic code in two manners: having more than one tRNA (with a specific anti-codon) for a particular amino acid; and 'wobble' base-pairing, i.e. permitting non-standard base-pairing at the 3rd anti-codon position. Lineage: Eukaryota; Metazoa; Chordata; Mammalia; Artiodactyla; Camelidae. RNAcentral also lists the same sequence under 2 other names. The record is from Rfam by way of RNAcentral.
AAGGGUAUAGCUCAAGUGGUAGAGCACAUGCUUAGCAUGCAUGAGGUCCUGGAUGUAAUCCUCAGUACCUCCU